This 166-nucleotide ribosomal RNA is filed under the name uncultured bacterium. Its description in RNAcentral is "partial 16S ribosomal RNA". It matches the Rfam family "Bacterial small subunit ribosomal RNA", at positions 1334 to 1500 of the family's 1533-position model. The record is from RNAcentral.
GCUAGUAAUCGCGGAUCAGCAUGCCGCGGUGAAUACGUUCCCGGGCCUUGUACACACCGCCCGUCACACCAUGAGAGUCGGGAACACCCGAAGUCCGUAGCCUAACCGCAAGGGGGCGCGGCCGAAGGUGGGUUCGAUAAUUGGGGUGAAGUCGUAACAAGGUAGC